UUUCCUUGCCAGGAAUUUAUUCUACAGAUUUACAAGUAUGCAAGGAUUUGCGGACAAGCACAUCAAUUGCAUCGUUGUUUAUACAGUAAGACAAUGGAAACAAAUGUCCGUCAACAGAGGACCAAUUAGUAAAAUAAAUACAGCAUAGUCUAUUAAAAAGAAUGAGGUAGAUCCAUAUGCGUCGAUAUAAAAAGAUGUACAAGAUAUACUAAGUGAGAAAAGUGCAGAAGAGCCUUGUAAUACUAACCCACUUGGGGAUUUUUGAAGAAAAUUGACUACUCAUAUAUUUGCACUGGAAUAGAAAACAUCUGGAAAGAUACACACAACAAGAAACUAUGAACAGUGGUUACCACUGGGGGAUCUUUACUUUCUAUUUUACAUUUUCCUCUACUGCUUUGAAUUUAUUUUUGUGAAUAUGUAUUACUUGUAAAAAUGUAAAAGAAAAAAUUUAAAGAAGGAAUAAGGGAGCAAUGAAAGGUAACAUCAAAAAUAAAAGCAGGAAUUUACCAAACUUACUGUUAGAAGGCAAAUUCAGCAAUAGGACCUGAAGGUCAGUAAGACAUGGUGGCUGAUUGAUGGACCCUUCCUGACCCCACUGACGUGGCGACAUAAAGAUGCUGCUCUCACUCAUAAGCUCUAACUCCUUGAGACCCAGGCAGCCCUGCUGUGGGGCCCCCAAUAACAUGGCUAAGGAGGAAGAGUGGUUCCCUUCUCCACUUGAAGUAACUGCUGUGUCGUCAAGGCACAAGGACCGAAAGCACUGGCGGCCAGAGCCAUUGGCAGCAGUUUGCACCCAGCGACAGAGUCCCAGCUGCACCGAAGGGGAGAGCAGCAAGUCUGGCUCAUCUCCGUCCCAGCCAAUAACAGGAUGGAUCUUCAGCUUGGUUGCCACUAAGUCUCGGCACAGUGGAGGUGAUGGCAGAGCUGCAGGGAUCCAGCAACAGCAGAAGGAAGCAGUCAUCAGGAAUGGGUCAGGAACACAUCCGGGCAACGCAAGCCUGGAGAAUCCCAGAAACACUUGAGGAAAACCUCCCAGAGUGUCUGAGUGAGUCCUUGGGCAUUCUAAGCUAAUGAUGUUCAGGAUCGGAAUUCGGAAUCUUCUUUCCGAAGAGCUUUCUCCACCCAGGAUGCCACUGGGAGGGUGGCAGAGGUGAAGCGGGCGGGGAGGCCAGGGCCUCUCUAGGAGGAGGCCAAGGAGGCCGCGUGCGGCCGGGGGCCCCCGGCCCCGGGGCGGCAGCCCAGCGCCCAGCAGUCCUGGCGGAAGCGGCGCACGGAGAAGCAGUAGAUGAGCGGGUCCAGGCAGCUGUUGAGGCUCAGCAGCGCCAGGCUGAGGGUGUGCAGGACGUCGAGCGUGGAGGCGGCCCGGCACCCGCCGCCGUCGCCGUCCGCGGCGCCCUCCUGCCCGGCCACCCAGGGCGCCAGCAGCAAGUGGUAGGGCGCCAGGCAGAGGGCGAAGACGAGCAGGAGGCCCAGCACCAUGGUCCUGGCG
This 1489-nucleotide long non-coding RNA is filed under the name Equus caballus (horse). Its description in RNAcentral is "lncRNA (ENSECAG00000028881.2)". Lineage: Eukaryota; Metazoa; Chordata; Mammalia; Perissodactyla; Equidae. The record is from RNAcentral.